Molecule: ribosomal RNA, 822 nt
Filed under: Streptomyces sp.
Lineage: Bacteria; Bacillati; Actinomycetota; Actinomycetes; Kitasatosporales; Streptomycetaceae
Description: bacterial SSU rRNA
Rfam family: Bacterial small subunit ribosomal RNA
Source: RNAcentral
UGGCUCAGGACGAACGCUGGCGGCGUGCUUAACACAUGCAAGUCGAACGAUGAAGCCCUUCGGGGUGGAUUAGUGGCGAACGGGUGAGUAACACGUGGGCAAUCUGCCCUUCACUCUGGGACAAGCCCUGGAAACGGGGUCUAAUACCGGAUAACACUCUGUCCCGCAUGGGACGGGGUUAAAAGCUCCGGCGGUGAAGGAUGAGCCCGCGGCCUAUCAGCUUGUUGGUGGGGUAAUGGCCUACCAAGGCGACGACGGGUAGCCGGCCUGAGAGGGCGACCGGCCACACUGGGACUGAGACACGGCCCAGACUCCUACGGGAGGCAGCAGUGGGGAAUAUUGCACAAUGGGCGAAAGCCUGAUGCAGCGACGCCGCGUGAGGGAUGACGGCCUUCGGGUUGUAAACCUCUUUCAGCAGGGAAGAAGCGAAAGUGACGGUACCUGCAGAAGAAGCGCCGGCUAACUACGUGCCAGCAGCCGCGGUAAUACGUAGGGCGCAAGCGUUGUCCGGAAUUAUUGGGCGUAAAGAGCUCGUAGGCGGCUUGUCACGUCGGAUGUGAAAGCCCGGGGCUUAACCCCGGGUCUGCAUUCGAUACGGGCUAGCUAGAGUGUGGUAGGGGAGAUCGGAAUUCCUGGUGUAGCGGUGAAAUGCGCAGAUAUCAGGAGGAACACCGGUGGCGAAGGCGGAUCUCUGGGCCAUUACUGACGCUGAGGAGCGAAAGCGUGGGGAGCGAACAGGAUUAGAUACCCUGGUAGUCCACGCCGUAAACGUUGGGAACUAGGUGUUGGCGACAUUCCACGUCGUCGGUGCCGCAGCUAACG